CCGAUCGGUAGACGCUACGGACUUGAAAAUCCGUUGGCUUUAUUGACCGUGAGGGUUCAAGUCCCUCUACCCCCA
RNAcentral lists this transfer RNA (75 nucleotides) under Mielichhoferia elongata. Its description in RNAcentral is "partial tRNA-Leu". The record is from RNAcentral. RNAcentral also lists the same sequence under 1 other name. Lineage: Eukaryota; Viridiplantae; Streptophyta; Bryopsida; Bryales; Mniaceae.